GAGUACGUCGGCAACGAUGAAACUCAAAGGAAUUGACGGGGGCCCGCACAAGCGGAGGAGCAUGUGGUUUAAUUCGAUGAUACGCGAGGAACCUUACCUGGGCUUGAACGUAUGGUGCAUGGUGGUGAAAGUCACCUUUCCUUCGGGACUUCAUACGAGGUGCUGCAUGGCUGUCGUCAGCUCGUGCCGUGAGGUGUUAGGUUAAGUCCUGCAACGAGCGCAACCCCUGUUUCCAGUUGCCAGCACAUCAAGGUGGGGRCUCUGGAGAAACUGCCUGCGCAAGCAGAGAGGAAGGUGGGGAUGACGUCAAGUCAGCACGGCCCUUACGUCCRGGGCUACACACGUGCUACAAUGGCCGGUACAGAGGGCAGCGACAUGGUGACAUGGAGCUAAUCCUAAAAGCCGGUCUAAGUUCGGAUCGGAGUCUGCAACCCGACUUCGUGAAGCUGGAUUCGCUAGUAAUCGUAUAUCAGCCAYGAUACGGUGAAUACGUUCCCGGGCCUUGUACACACCGCCCGUCAAGCCAUGGGAGUUAGGGGUACCUGAAGUCGAUGCCCGUAAAAGGAAUCGCCUAGGGUAAACCUGAUGACUGGGGCUAAGUCGUAACAAGGUAACCAAGGGCGAA
Molecule: ribosomal RNA, 625 nt
Filed under: uncultured bacterium
Lineage: Bacteria
Description: bacterial SSU rRNA
Rfam family: Bacterial small subunit ribosomal RNA
Source: RNAcentral